AUAGGCGGGAGGGAAAGGGAGAGUUAAGGGAAAUUGCAUGAAAUUGGAAGGUGAGCCUAAGGGAUAUACACAAUUACAUAUAAGAGGAAAGGAGGAGUAGGAGAAAAAUUCGCCCCCCCCCCCGCCUACACCUUGAUCUUAUUUGAUCGGGUCGUGACCCCAGCCCCGCCGGGCCGCCCCGAAAUGAAAAGCUCUCCUCCUGCGAAGCCCCUUCCUCUGGGCGCUGUGCAGUGAGGCCCUUUGGGCGGCGGCAGCGCCGCGGUCCCUGAGGUCCCGGAGCUGGUCCUAUGGGCCCGGUGCUCAGAAGUGAUGAAUUGAUCAGAUAGACGAGGCCGGGCCUGUCCCGGGCCAGUGAUUAUCGAGGCGAUUCUGAUCUGA
RNAcentral lists this small nucleolar RNA (378 nucleotides) under Spermophilus dauricus (Daurian ground squirrel). RNAcentral describes it as "Small Cajal body-specific RNA 2 (ENSSDAG00000013574.1)". It matches the Rfam family "Small Cajal body-specific RNA 2". Lineage: Eukaryota; Metazoa; Chordata; Mammalia; Rodentia; Sciuridae. The record is from Rfam by way of RNAcentral.